Long non-coding RNA from Sipha flava (yellow sugarcane aphid), 895 nucleotides. RefSeq lists it as uncharacterized. The record is from RefSeq and is a predicted model, not a curated record. The transcript is spliced from 3 exons. NCBI's taxonomy places the organism in Eukaryota, Metazoa, Arthropoda, Insecta, Hemiptera, Aphididae.
CGAGUCCGUCGCCGCACGGAAAACCGAGAGGGGAAAAAAAACCGAUCGCGCGAUGCGCAGCGGAUUCGUGCGUGGAGCGCGCUUGCUUGACGCGACGAGUAGUGUUGGCGCGCGCCUCGCGAUCGUUUCGCGUUUUCCCUCGUUCGCGGCCGCGGCCGCAUCGGUGGUGUGUGUACACGUCCGAAAUGCUACGACGACCACGGCAGGGACUGCGUGACAUGUUUGCAUUUUCCCACCACGAUCAACAGCAUCGUCAAGACGCAUAUCGCGUAUACAUCACUUGAUACUGCUACCAACUCGGAAGUGCCGUUUGUAAAUCGCUCAUCAUGAAAUUAAAACAACGAAGACAAGUGCUCAGUUUAAAAUUUUCGCUGGAUUUAACUGGAAAAAAAAAUAAAAUAAAGAAAGACAAAACAAGUUUUAUUCAUUGACCAACAAGAAGCCUUAUAAUAUUGUUACCAGACACCGGUGGUACGAGACCGUAAGCCACCAGCUAUCGGGUUUCGACAGUCGUCUUGCAUUACCAUGCGUUCCCAUCAACCCUGAGGAAAUCAUACUCGCACACGGAAACAAACGACUACUAUGCAGUGUUGUACCUUUUCUCUCUAUACCUCAUUUAGGUACAACAAAGAAAACCAUUCUGCGUAUAUAAGUUAAAGGAUUCAGAAGGAUACUCGUAGUAUUUGUAAGACUCUCUUGUACACAUAUUAACUUAGCAGGAAAACGUAUCCCUAAUGCGAGUACUGGUUUCGUAUUGGUGGGUAGAGUUAUAUACUGUCUAGCACCAUUUGAAACCAGUACUUAUUGACGGGAUGUCUUCCAGAAGUAUAAAUUAUAAUAUGAAUAUUAUAAAUUAAUUUGUAGUAUCAAUUAUGAUUAAUUGUAAGUUUUUUUU